CGAACGGGUGAGUAAUGCAUCGGAACGUGCCCAGUCGUGGGGGAUAACGCAGCGAAAGCUGUGCUAAUACCGCAUACGAUCUAUGGAUGAAAGCGGGGGAUCGCAAGACCUCGCGCGAUUGGAGCGGCCGAUGUCAGAUUAGCUAGUUGGUGGGGUAAAGGCCCACCAAGGCGACGAUCUGUAGCUGGUCUGAGAGGACGACCAGCCACACUGGGACUGAGACACGGCCCAGACUCCUACGGGAGGCAGCAGUGGGGAAUUUUGGACAAUGGGCGCAAGCCUGAUCCAGCAAUGCCGCGUGCAGGAAGAAGGCCUUCGGGUUGUAAACUGCUUUUGUACGGAACGAAAAGGUCUGGGUUAAUACCCUGGGCUCAUGACGGUACCGUAAGAAUAAGCACCGGCUAACUACGUGCCAGCAGCCGCGG
RNAcentral lists this ribosomal RNA (425 nucleotides) under uncultured bacterium. Its description in RNAcentral is "bacterial SSU rRNA". It matches the Rfam family "Bacterial small subunit ribosomal RNA", at positions 99 to 520 of the family's 1533-position model. The record is from RNAcentral.